CGACAAGAAAACAUGAAAAAAUUCAUAGAAUGUAUCAUUCGACAAAGAGGGGUUGCUAUAGGUUUCAGAUUACAUACACAAGUGAAAGAUAAAAAAAAAUUCAAAAAACUACAAUAAGCAGAAAAUAAAAUGAGCCCAACAUGGUGCACUUUCUAUCCCCCUCAAUGUCUUCGUAUUACUCGCUUGGGAUUCAAAGCAACAUAAUAUACUUUCUUCGGGUAAGAAAUCUGGAGUUCAUGUUGAUAUAUAGAAGUUCCUGGACAGAAAAAUGAAUCGAAAUAAAAUUUGUUUCCUUGAGGGAAAUUAUUUUCACACUUUGUCUAGAUUUGUAUCUGAAGCCAUCAAAUUUGUCAGUGUCUCUUCCAAAAACCUAGAAAGGAAAGCAAAGCAGAAAAAUAGUACUUUGUUAACGUAAUGAAUUAGUUUGUCCAUUUGCUUGAACCAAGACUCAGCAUUUUGAUAUUGGAAGUCAUCUUCCAUGUUCCACAUCAUAUCAUUGGCUUAAGUAUCGUUUGCCUAUGUAAGAAAGACCAAAUGGUCAACUGCAUAUGCUGUCUUACCUUCUAAAUGAAUGCACUGCUCAAUAAGAAGAUUUAGCAACUGUUGAAUUUAAGGAAUAAUAUAUGCGUAAAUAGCACAAGACAUCACUACCUUUCAAUGUCAUUGUGCAAAACAUCUCUAAUUUUCAUUUUUUGACAUUUUCAUCCCUAUUUCCCACAUUUCAUUGCUCAAAAGAUCAUUUUCAUCCAUUUUUGACGAUUUUACCCUCAUUUCGAAUGGGGGGAAAAAAAGAAAAGAAAAGGAAAAAUAGAGGACCAUUGCAACUAUAAUACCAAAUUUUCAAAAGAUUACAAAUUACUCACAAAAUAUAGUACAUCUAUAUCAACCUUUUAUCCCCUCCACCAUAGUCCAUACAUACGGAGAUUUCGCCGUCAUCCUCCUCAAUAUUCCGUACAUACGCGACCUUCCAAAAUUUUUCUAGUCUUCAGUUAUGUCAUUUAUUCACAUUUACCAAAUGCUUCUGGAUACCCUUUUGUUUUCCAAAAAUUUCAGGCAUGGAAGAUAUCUUCUUAAUAAAAAUUUAAUAAAGAUGAGAUUUUUAUCAUAUUUCAGUAACCCCAUUUUGAAUUCCCCACCAAUUAAUGCAAAGAACUGUAGAAAUUACUGUUCGGGGAAUCAUAGGAGUGAAGAUUCCACCGAGUGGACUGAGGAAAUACAAUAUUUAGACGAGUCAAGAAGUAUUAUUUUCUCUGGUAAGGGAAUAAGAUCGGUCAAGCCAGAUGUUGAUGACCAUGUAAUGGUUGGAGGGAUUAAAAAGCCCAUGUUGAAUGCCUCUGCCGUUGCUAAGAUGGUUGAGUUUGUAAAGAGGUGGAGACGGAAGCCUGAUAUGAAGUGGAGGGGAUAAAAUGAUGGAAUAAAUUUGUUAUAUUUUGUGAGUGAUUUGUAAUUUUUAAAAAUAUAGGGUUAUAGAUGCAAUUAGUUCUCUAUGUUUUCUUUUCUUUUCUUUUUGUUUUAUUUGAAAGGAGAGUAAAAUCGUUAAAAAUGGAUGAAAAUGAUUUUUACGCAAUAAAAGAUGAAAAUAGAGAUGAAAAUAUCAAAAAAUGAAAGGUAGUGACGUUUUGCACAAUGAUAUUGAAAGGUAGGGACGUUUUGUGCUAUUUAUCUAUAAAAGAAAUAUUGAAAUUUACUUGAAUCAUUGCAGCACUGAUAAAACCAUUAACUCAUGUGUCGACAUUGAAGUCAAAAAGAAGGAAAUUAUCUGCAUUUUGACAAGUUGAGAAGCUUAAGUAUAAGCUUAUACAACUGAUAAGUGUAUUUUAUAUACUUAUUCAAGAUUUCAAAACGAUGAUAUUUAAUGACUUCUUUGAUAAAUUAUGGUCUAAAUUAUUGUAUUUGGUGUUGAAUAGGUGAAAUUCAAUUAUGGUACCAAAAAGUAGAAGAAGCAAAAGUGGGCAAAAUUGGAGAAAAGGGCUAAGUUGUAAGAGAUCCAUAGUUGGGGGACUAAAGUGUAAAUACUCAAAAGUUGUGUCGGACCUCAUGAUGAAGAUUUAAGAGUUCUCGAAGCCAACUGGAUAAAGAAAGACAUCAAAGGGAUUAAAUAUAAUCAAAGUAUGAUCACACAUCAAGUUCAAACUGAAAAAAUAAAAAUAAAAAUAAAAAUUUAUGCACCAUUUUCAGCCUCACAUUGAGACCCAAUUUUGUCAUAGAAAAUGAUAAAACUUGAAAAUGAUAUUUGAUGCGAAGUUGUAUCCCUUUAAGUUAGCUUUCCCACGCAUCUUGAAUCGCCUCAAUCGGACAUUGAAAAAGAAAUUUAUGAUAAAAAUACUGAAAUAGGUGUUGUCUGUCUGAAAUGUGGCCGUGGCACCACUUCAGGGCACUGCAACGCUCGGAUAUCCAGAGACGUGGCGGCACAGUGCCAUCCACCACCUAUUUUUGACGCGAUGCUGCAGCGCUGGAUUCUAGGCGCCGCGGAACCACCAAUUCGUAACCUAAGCGAGAUUUCAGCCCCAUUUUGAAGUCAUGAUGAAAACCUUACCUUCUACACACGACAAGACACCUAUAAAUACAAUUUUUCCACACUUUUGUAGGGGAUUUUAAACAUUGAGAAGCAAGAGAAUAUAAUUGGAGAAUUGAAAAAGAAAUUCAAAGGAGGAAAACAGAAAGCAAUUGAAAGUUUAAUGCAUUAAUUGGAAGAAAAAGAAGAUAUUUCUUAUUCUAUAUUCUUAUUCAAAACCUGAUGAUAUCUUCCAUAAUAACUUCUUAUUUUACUUUCAUUACUAUGAGUAGCUAAAUAUAAUUUUAAGACGAAUAAUAUAACUGAUUUAAGAACCUUUAUUUCUUUUAUUUGAGAUUCUUGUUUGCUAUAAUUACAUGUGUGGAUUUUAAUUAUGUUCUUAAUGCCUUUAAUUUUUUUGCCAAUUAUUCAAUGAUUUCGUGAACAAUAAUUGCGUAGAAAUGUGAAUUUUUGUUUAGACCAUAUAUUAAAAUUCGAUAUUUUAAUAUAAUGUGUAGAGAUACCAAUAUUAAUUAUUGUGGUCGUAAAUAAAUUCUUGGAACUAUUAGUGCGUUUAACUAAAUUUAAUUCACAUAGAAAUCUGGAAUUGAAGUAGUUAAAUGAGUUCAAUGAAAAUUUGAAAAGAGUAAAUUGAAUAUAGUAGAAAAUUUUGAUCAAAGACUACUUUAGAUUUUAUAAAUCUCGAUAUUAGAAGUAAAUGUAACCAAUAGGUGAAAUUGUUUCGCCCUAACAUUCAUUUAUUGUUUGAAUUCCAAAUCACUUUUCGUUGCAUCCAUUCUCAUUUUAAGUAGUUAGAUAAAAAUCACAAUCGAUCAUCAUUUUUGUUUAUUUUCAUCAAAUAAUGGUUAAGGAAAAUUGAAUUAAGUGCUAAAGUAUAGUCCUUAUGAAAUCAACAACUAGGACUCUUAGGUUCACUUUACUACUUGUUACGAUUCGUAUACUUGCGGGAUAAAAUCGACAACAACAACCAUAAAGAUUGUUGGGACUAACUAAUGUUUGGUUGAAGAUAGAACCUUGACCAGGAUGGAGUCAUCAUCUACUUCAAAAUGGAAACCAAUGGUGAACUAUAAUGAACAUGAAAUGAUUCGGUAAGUAUCUGCAAGGAUUCAGACCUCCAAUUAAUAAAAAACGAAGCAAUUUAAGAAAAAAUGUGUACGGAUCACCAGUUUCAUUCAUAACCUGAGAAGAGGAGCCAAAUGUCAUGGAAGCCUGCGAUAUAAAUUUAAGUGAUUUAUCUGCAUCAAGUUUUACCUUGUAUUGAUAAUCAAUCCAUGCAAAAUGAAUGGAAUGAAAUCCCAACUAUAGAAACAAAAAAACAAAAAAUAAUUAAUUAAAGAUGGAAGUAAGAAUAAAAAAUUUGUAAUAUAUAAACAUAGAAUAUCCAGUCCAUGGAUUGUGUUAAGUUGACGAUUCUUCGAAUUUCAACAACUGUCUUAUGAAUACCUCAGCCCCAAGUAGGUAAUCUUGAAUUGCAGAGUUCCCAAAUGGAUUGAUCUGCCACGAUAAGUCUUAUUGAACUGACUCUUUAUUAGUUGAUGGAAAGGGUUUGUUUUGUCAAUCAUGUCUAUAUAAUGAGUAGUUGCUUCAUCAUGCAUACUACACCAGCCACCAAGAUAGUCCAUGAAUAUUUUUCUAAAUUGGAAUGAAUAAAACACAAUUGUAAGCCUCUAUAUAUUUGGAAACAAAAGAGGAUUCUUUUGAUUUCUAUUCGAUGUGGGAAUCAUGUGAAUUCCAUUAAAAGUAGGAAAGUUAAAUCGUAUUCUAUGUGGUUGGUAAAAAUUCAAUCCUUAUUCUAUAUAGGACAAUCCUAAGUCAAUCCAUCUUUAGUAUUUUACUUGGCAGAGAUAAUACAAACCCGAGUUAGUCUUAACCUGCAGAUCAUUUAUCAACAGAAGCAGAAACUUCCAAUACAUCAAGUGAGGAAGAGAUCGUGUAUGCUUGCAAAAGAUCAAAUCUUUACCUGCUUGCUUUCAAGAUGCUCAAUUUUUCAUUCCUGCAAAUUAAUCAACAAUAAAGAUAUGCAUGAAUAACUCAUACGGCAAUACUAUUCAGCAAGUCAGUAGAAUUUAAAUUUUAAAACACUAUGACAGCUUACCAAGCUGGAUACCAUCUCAUUGAUUAAAUUAAUGUCAUGCCCAAUCGAUUAAGACUAGAUCUCAUUUCACUUACCUACAUAAUAUUAGUAAGAGUAUCAAUCAAAGAAAAUAUAUUUGUUUUGAUGCAAGUUGUGUAGUAACUGUUAUUUUCAUCUAUUGAACUUCCUCACUGAGAAACCCCAAACUUCAACAAGCAUAUGAACACAGAUGAGCAUCCUAAGUAUGUAACUCAAUCCUUGCCCACAGUCAGCCUAUUCUUACGCAUGAAAGUCAUCUAACAGACAACAAAGACAAAGUUCACGACUCUUUUGAAUUGUUAAGACUUCUUAUCUGCCUUUACUUCAAAGAAAUUUGCCUAAUAUUUGAGAAGUAGUGGGAUGUGAAGACUAAAAUCAUGUCGUGCAUAAAGGUUAUAAAAUUUUUUGAGGUUAAAUUGAUGCAGUGCACCUAAUGAUAUUUUCAACAUUUACUUCUUUUUCUCCCUUUUGUUUCUGUAGUGGUUUCUUUCAAAUAUUCUUCAGUUUGUCCCUUGUUGGUUUAGGGAGGAGUCAUCAAUGAAAACUCUAAGAUGCUUCUCUCAUUAUAUUCAUUGCUUAGAAUCUUACUGAUAUCUUCAUAUUAUUAAAUAUAAAUGUGAUAGUUUUUAUUUCAUCAUAGCAGAAGUUAAUCAUUGAAUCUGAAGAAGCCAUAAAUGUAUGAACCAUAAGACCUGAAAAGCAACUGUAGCAUGUGCAAUUGCACAUUAAAAUUAUCACAUCAAAGACAGAAUAUGUCAUACAUCAUUUACAAUAAGCUUUGAUGUUUGCCUCUGCUCAUCUAGGUUUUAUGACUUUGCAGCAUUGAAAUCCCAAGCAACAGAUAUGGAAGCUGAGAAAAAUAUCAAAAUUAAAUUCCAAUAAUUUAUUAUUAAGCCUAAUAUCAAGGCUGAUACCAUAGCCGAAAACCUCACAAAAAGAUAAGUACAGAAAAGAAAAGACUUCUAAGGACUUGAUCAAGCUUUGUGAACUUUGAAUAUUGAGAUCUAUCAAAACAAAAAGCAUGGACAUCUUCGUUGCAUAUGAAAGAGUUUACAUUUCAACAAUUUUCACUCCUAGGAUCUUAUGGUCAUCAAUAAACAUUCAGUAAAGAACCUUCCACACCUUCCCUAAUUAUCACAUGGACACGACUUAAUACAACAAAAUCAUAUUUCAUACUUAUUUCAGCUGGGCAGCCAAAUAUCAAAGUAACUAAAAACACAAGAAAAUGGUUGGAUAGAUGUAUCAUCAUCCCUAAAAUUUUCAUCUCCCUUGUUCCCCAUAGUUAUCCCACUCGGGAUGUUUUUUCAGAUUCAUGUAAGACAAUAAAAAAUGAAAUGCAAACAAAAACUUUAAUGUGAUAAAAAUUCUUGACAAAUACUAUACAACAUCACAAUCCCCUCAUGCCCAGAUAAAUGAAAAUAUAGCAUUUAAACAUUUAGACCAUCUCCAACCCUACACCAAAAUUUGCACCAUUUUGCAUUAAAAUUUGCACCAAACUAAAAAUCAUCUUCAAUCAAUCACACCAAAAUUUGUAUCAAAUGGUCAGUGUUUAAUCAUUUUCUUCACUUUUUUUCAUUCUUAGUAAUUUAUUUAUAUGAAAAAUUAUUUAUUUAUUUAAUCUAAAACUUCAUAAUUUAAUUAUGUUCCGUUAACGAAAAUAUUAAAUUCAUUAAUGAAUUUAAUGAAUGUAGUACAAUUAAUAGAAAAAUCACAACUAAGAAAUAUUAAAUAAUAA
RNAcentral lists this long non-coding RNA (6363 nucleotides) under Olea europaea subsp. europaea. Lineage: Eukaryota; Viridiplantae; Streptophyta; Magnoliopsida; Lamiales; Oleaceae. The record is from RNAcentral.